CAGAGAGUGAACAGCAUACUGAAACACAUCAUCAUCUUCUGAAUCUUUCUUUCUUACUGAAGAGUUUUCCUUUUUGAUCAGUUUGAGUCAACUCUUCCUCUCAGGAAGAAGGUUGUGUGAAUGCGGGAGAUGCCCUAUUGCAUAACAAGAUGUAUCCAGGAAGAGAUGAGCAGAGUAUACCAGGGAUUCUAACUGUGGACUGGAAGCAUGCUCAGUACUUCACAGCUAAAGUUUCCUUCUAUAUAAAGAGAGGUAAGAUAAUCUGUAUUAUUUCUUUCUCUACAGUGUUAGUUUUAGGAAAUUACAUUUUAAACGGCACUUCACAGAGCUAUCCCUUACUAAUUGUAGUGCCCCA
RNAcentral lists this long non-coding RNA (355 nucleotides) under Coturnix japonica (Japanese quail). RNAcentral describes it as "lncRNA (ENSCJPG00005019445.1)". The record is from RNAcentral. Lineage: Eukaryota; Metazoa; Chordata; Aves; Galliformes; Phasianidae.